This is a long non-coding RNA of Panicum virgatum (switchgrass), 1064 nucleotides long. RefSeq lists it as uncharacterized. The transcript has 2 exons. The record is from RefSeq and is a predicted model, not a curated record. NCBI's taxonomy places the organism in Eukaryota, Viridiplantae, Streptophyta, Magnoliopsida, Poales, Poaceae.
UUUUGUCAUGUUUGAUCGUGCGCUAAACAAGGACUUCUUAUUGUAAGCAGCCGACAAAUGUUAGUUACGAACCAAGGUCGACGAUCUACCAUCAUCCACCCAUAUUUGCUGCCAUACUUAGUAGUAUGGGAGCCGCCGCCUCCCCGGAUCUCCUCCGUCUCCUCCGUCUUCAUCGGAGGGACCUGCCUGCGGAGAGACCCCGUAUGAAAUGAUUACACUGUAAAUCAUCCUUUCAGUACAAGAAACUUCCAGUUUAGCAUCAUCCUUUCAGUACAAGAAACUGAAAUAAAACUAUGCAUCAUCUUUUCAGUACAAGAAACUUCCAGUUUAGCAUGCCCAUAAAUCAUGGAUUUGUUCAAUCAGAUGUUUGUUUAGGAACCUAUUGCAGUGAGGUGAUUGUUCAUUUGUAAGAUAAGUUUACAAAGGAGCUUGCAUAUUCAUUGAACUAUAGAUGUCAAAAUGGUUGUGAAGCAUGGCUACAAAUUUAACAGCUACUUUUGUCCUGCUCUUGUUCCCAGUAACUUUUCCUACCUGAAGAAAAUUUUGUGCUUCUCCAUCCAUAGCCCAUCCCUGGGUAGGUUACUACUUAUUUCUUGGCUAUCUCUGUUGGUGGACAAGCAGGUAGCGAUAGUGGUGGCGGUUGCCGGAGGAGACCGGCAAGGAGCCGACGAUGACGACUGACGACAGCCGUGGCGAAACCGGGUGGUCGUCGUCUUCGCCGAUGUCGUUCUCUGCAGCGAUUGCUGGGUUGCCACCGCCUAGCUUUUUGGCCUGUCCUCACUGCAGCUGUUGAGUCCCCAGGCAGCUGAACCAGAAGAGUGAUACGUGGAGUGAGCAAAAAAUACAGUGAUUGAAAGGGAUUGCAUCAGAAUUGUCUCGCUCCUAGCUUCUUGCCCUUUUUCAGCAAUAUCGUCAGCUUCAGAUUCCAGAGAUCAGAUGCCUAGUGUAGUUUCCUUACUACUCAUGAACGUGAUUGUAUAUGGAGGAUUUGUACGGUAUGAUCUCCCUAAUAAAUUCAUAUAUAUGAUUCUGAACUUAUGAUCAAAUGCUCGGUUUGUUCUACC